RNAcentral lists this ribosomal RNA (492 nucleotides) under uncultured bacterium. RNAcentral's name for it is "partial 16S ribosomal RNA". It matches the Rfam family "Bacterial small subunit ribosomal RNA", at positions 29 to 507 of the family's 1533-position model. The record is from RNAcentral.
AGUGAACGCUGGCGGUAGGCCUAACACAUGCAAGUCGAACGGCAGCACAGUAAGAGCUUGCUCUUACGGGUGGCGAGUGGCGGACGGGUGAGGAAUACAUCGGAAUCUACUUUUUCGUGGGGGAUAACGUAGGGAAACUUACGCUAAUACCGCAUACGACCUACGGGUGAAAGCAGGGGAUCUUCGGACCUUGCGCGAUUGAAUGAGCCGAUGUCGGAUUAACUAGUUGGCGGGGUAAAGGCCCACCAAGGCGACGAUCCGUAGCUGGUCUGAGAGGAUGAUCAGCCACACUGGAACUGAGACACGGUCCAGACUCCUACGGGAGGCAGCAGUGGGGAAUAUUGGACAAUGGGCGCAAGCCUGAUCCAGCCAUACCGCGUGGGUGAAGAAGGCCUUCGGGUUGUAAAGCCCUUUUGUCGGGAAAGAAAAGCAGCAGGUUAAUACCCCGCUGUUCUGACGGUACCCAAAGAAUAAGCACCGGCUAACUUCGUG